This is a small nucleolar RNA of Callorhinchus milii (elephant shark), 136 nucleotides long. Ensembl annotates it as small nucleolar RNA, H/ACA box 69. Its record names the gene SNORA69. NCBI's taxonomy places the organism in Eukaryota, Metazoa, Chordata, Chondrichthyes, Chimaeriformes, Callorhinchidae. The record is from Ensembl.
AACGCAGGCUGCAAUUACAGCGCUCCAGACCGUGGGAGCGUUGCCAUUUUCCCUGCUGACACCAAAUCUGCUGGCCGCCAAUCUGUCUGGUCUUCCCUUCUCGUGGUGAGAUUUCAGCUGGUGACAGCAAACACGC